RNAcentral lists this non-coding RNA (45 nucleotides) under Schistosoma mansoni. The record is from RNAcentral. Lineage: Eukaryota; Metazoa; Platyhelminthes; Trematoda; Strigeidida; Schistosomatidae. RNAcentral also lists the same sequence under 1 other name.
ACCCAGCUGACGAGUCCCAAGUAGGACGAAACGCGCGUCCUGGAU